This is a non-coding RNA of Paramuricea clavata, 190 nucleotides long. The record is from the annotation of a GenBank genome assembly. NCBI's taxonomy places the organism in Eukaryota, Metazoa, Cnidaria, Anthozoa, Malacalcyonacea, Plexauridae.
CACGAAACGUUUGUUCGCCACCACCGGCCACAGCAACCUAACUAAAUGUAUUAUAUUUUUUGUAUUUUUAUAAUUGAUGAUAAAUAUACACAAAUAUUUAUUGUUUUUAUCAAAAAUCACAAAUAUACAAUAAAUAUAAUGUACCUAACUUAGGUUGCUGUGGCCUGUGGUGGCGAACAAACGUUUUGUG